Vigna unguiculata (cowpea) is the source of this 480-nucleotide long non-coding RNA. RefSeq lists it as uncharacterized. The record is from RefSeq and is a predicted model, not a curated record. NCBI's taxonomy places the organism in Eukaryota, Viridiplantae, Streptophyta, Magnoliopsida, Fabales, Fabaceae.
UCACUUUUUUUUUCUUUAGAUAUCUGAAAAACUCUUUCUUCCGUCUCCCUACUGAAGCAAGAGCUCUGCUAGGGUAUAGAGAGAUCCUCUCAUCUCCAAGCUAACGAAACUCAUCCCACCUCCAACUCACUACUCUAGCUCUUGGAGCUGUGGUGCUCUUUAAUUGCGGACUUGUUGCUUUUGCUAGUGUUUUAAAAGAUAAGAGAAAUGUUGAAGGUGGAUCUCAUGGCGGUAGUGGUGCAAUUUAGUUGGUUUGAUGUAUGUGGCUCUUAGGAGCAGUUUUAUGGCCCUAGUGCUUUUUUUAUAAUUUCCUGCUCUAGGAGCAACCCUUCUGUAAACUGUUGAACCUUUUUGGGACUAUGUUCUGCUCAUGGCAUUUUGGUGUGCCUUGGCAUCUUUUAAGCACUUUCAUGGAUGACUGUAAAUAGUGGAACUUUAUGUAUACUAUUCAUUUGAUUGCUCUUUUAUUACUAAAAUUAU